ACGCUCGACACCUACGGGAGGCNGCAGUGGGGAAUAUUGCACAAUGGGGGAAACCCUGAUGCAGCGAUGCCGCGUGAAGGAAGAAGUAUCUCGGUAUGUAAACUUCUAUCAGCAGGGAANAAAAUGACGGUACCUGACUAAGAAGCCCCGGCUAACUACGUGCCACAGCCGCGGUAAUCUGAGCGGGCUGGCAAGGC
RNAcentral lists this ribosomal RNA (197 nucleotides) under uncultured bacterium. RNAcentral's name for it is "partial 16S ribosomal RNA". It matches the Rfam family "Bacterial small subunit ribosomal RNA", at positions 328 to 539 of the family's 1533-position model. The record is from RNAcentral.